Octodon degus (degu) is the source of this 380-nucleotide long non-coding RNA. RefSeq lists it as uncharacterized. The record is from RefSeq and is a predicted model, not a curated record. Lineage: Eukaryota; Metazoa; Chordata; Mammalia; Rodentia; Octodontidae. The transcript is spliced from 3 exons.
AAGAGGCAAGGAGAUGGGGUACUUCUUAUUCUUGUUGGCCAGAGGUCCAGAGUGUCAAUAAGACACAACCGCAGUCAUAAAUGGGUCCACAGUCGGCUGCCAGUAAACAAGGCAGUAGGAAGCUCAGCCAUGGAUAGUGGGGACUGCUGUGUUGUUCAGUCUUUGAAAAGGUGUUUCAAGCAGGCUGAUCACUGCAGGCAAUAUAACAAGACCCCUGGCUCAGAAAGCUAGGGUAGAGUGAAGUCUUAUUCAAACUUGAAACAUACAGCCUGUCUGCGGAUCCUGAUUCAGGACAGCUGCUGCCCGAUGGGAAAAGAAGGACGAUGCUUGCGUUCCUGAUGAGCGUGCCACAAGGACUGGUCAUUUAUUUCCGGCUAGUA